AUGGAGCUGGUUCCUUCUGCUCGUCAGCUAAACGAGCCCCUGUGCGUGCAGGGGUGCGGUGGUGGGAGGCUUGGGGCAAAAUCCCCUCUGCUCCUGGGCAGCAGCUCCCCGGGGCGGUGGCGAAUUGCCCCCAGGGACAGCGAGUGUCCAGCAGGAAGGGCAGGACGGAGACCAAAGCCCUGCCUGCACAUCGGCACCCAAACCCCAAAAAAGCGACCAGGUGCCCUCCAGCUGGCCUCCAGCACUGCUGGGAAGCGUUACGGGAGCCCACGGGGCUGGGGCCGGGGCAGGACAGCCCCGUGGUUUUACCUCCUGCUCCCUUCCUCUCCCCAACCCUUUCCACACGAUGGUUUCCUGACUUCUCUGUGGCUGCCUCACACCAUCCUGCUGCUUCAGACCCCCAAGACCCCCUCCUGCACCACGGGAGCGAGCGGGGACACAGCUCCCACCAGGGGACCCCAUCCCAGGGCUGCGUCCCCGGGGUCCCCGUCCCUUCCCCACCCCAACACUGAGGUCACGGCGCUGGGGAGCAGCUGCCCAGGCCCUCCCUGGUGCCACAGGAGGGUGGGGGGCUCCACGCUGGAGCUUUGGGGGGGUUUGGAAAUGGCUUGGUGCUGCCUGGGCUGGCCCCAACCCCAUUUGGGGGAUCCCUUGCGCCCCAGUGGGGUUUUCUCCUGCAGGAAGAGCCGCAGCACCCAGCACCCCUCCUGCCCCCCGGAGCUGGGGGUCGCUGCGGGUGCAGGGACCUGGGGAGGAGCUGGGGGCUGCAGCAUCCCGGUGAGCCCCCUCCUGGAGCCACAGCUCUGCCAGGAGCUGGUUGCCUACACCCUGGAGCUGCCGCUGUGGAGGGGAGAUGUCACCCGGGUCCCCUGCAAGGUGAGGCGAUGCCACCCCAGCACACGGCAUCCCGUGAGCCUGGCCACGGUGGAUUUGGGGCCCUGGGCAUCUCCGCAUUGCCAGGGGGGUGGCAGCUGUGGGGCCGGUGGCAAGAAGCGGGGCAGGAGGAGCCCCCCACAGGGUGCCAGGGAUGCGGCGUGGCCCAGCACCGCGGUGCUCAGCGCUUUGACUUCCUUCCCCGCGCGGAGCCGAUUUCCUCCAGCGUCACGUGCGCGGCGCGGGGCCAGGGUGGCCGGGGGGAGCCUGGCACGGCGCCGAGCGGCACGGCCUGGGGGGCAGCCCCGUGCCAGCAGCCUGAGCCAGCGAGGGACCGGCCUGGCCACCAGCAGCAGCACAGGGCGAGGAUGGAGCCGCCCAAGCCGCCCCCGAGCAAGAGGAUGGCUCCUGCGCCCCCCGUCCCGGCCAAAACCAAACCAGCGCUGGGGCUGCCGAGCAAGCCCAGCAGCCCCCAGCCCGGCGCCUCGGCUGAACUGGAGCGGGGCAGAGCCGCAGACCCAGGUAGGGCCAGGCUGGGAGGUGCCAGCGCGGGGUCCUGGGGCCGUGCCCUCCUUUCACACCUUCCCUUUCGCAGACGCCGACGGCUUCAGCGCCCUGCAGGUGACCACGGCCAAGCUGAGCCACCCCACGGCCACGCGCCCCCGGGUGCCGGGCCAGCGGCCGCCCAGCAUGGCCUGGGGGGGUUUGGGGCCGCCCUGCGCCAGGCUCUGCCCCCCUCUCCCCCCCGCAGCACAGAGCCCGGAGCAGCGGCUGGCCCUGGAGGACCUGAAGGCUGAGGUGCGGUCCCUGCACAUCCUCGUGGACCUGAUGCGAGGCCAGCACCUGAGGGACCUGGAGGACGUGAGGCUGGAGCUGCAGCACGAGCGGGCCAGGCGCGAGGCGCUGCAGGCGGAGAUCGAGCGGGUGAGGAAGGCGCUGCCCUGCUAG
RNAcentral lists this long non-coding RNA (1821 nucleotides) under Anas platyrhynchos platyrhynchos (common mallard). Its description in RNAcentral is "lncRNA (ENSAPLG00000023940.1)". Lineage: Eukaryota; Metazoa; Chordata; Aves; Anseriformes; Anatidae. The record is from RNAcentral.